Molecule: ribosomal RNA, 336 nt
Filed under: Pseudomonas cedrina subsp. fulgida
Lineage: Bacteria; Pseudomonadati; Pseudomonadota; Gammaproteobacteria; Pseudomonadales; Pseudomonadaceae
Description: bacterial SSU rRNA
Rfam family: Bacterial small subunit ribosomal RNA
Source: RNAcentral
UGGCUCAGAACGAACGCUGGCGGCAGGCCUAACACAUGCAAGUCGAGCGGUAGAGAGAAGCUUGCUUCUCUUGAGAGCGGCGGACGGGUGAGUAAUGCCUAGGAAUCUGCCUGGUAGUGGGGGAUAACGUUCGGAAACGGACGCUAAUACCGCAUACGUCCUACGGGAGAAAGCAGGGGACCUUCGGGCCUUGCGCUAUCAGAUGAGCCUAGGUCGGAUUAGCUAGUUGGUGAGGUAAUGGCUCACCAAGGCGACGAUCCGUAACUGGUCUGAGAGGAUGAUCAGUCACACUGGAACUGAGACACGGUCCAGACUCCUACGGGAGGCAGCAGUGGG